Long non-coding RNA from Myxocyprinus asiaticus (Chinese sucker), 739 nucleotides. RefSeq lists it as uncharacterized. The record is from RefSeq and is a predicted model, not a curated record. Lineage: Eukaryota; Metazoa; Chordata; Actinopteri; Cypriniformes; Catostomidae. The transcript has 6 exons.
CUGCAGAGAGGAGGGCAGACCUCGCUGUAAAGACUGAAGUCCCAGGACACAUUCCCAGGGCUGAGCCAGAGGUGAUGGAAACUAAACACACAGGGGGUGGCCCUCGCAGGGUAAACUUACUUCCGGUAUCAACAACGGCCAUUGAAAUACUUUUUAGAUCAAUUUCCAGUUUGUCACUUGCAUGAACAACGCCUGAGGGAACUGAGAAGGCGCCAUUUUCAGAGGAAACGAUUUUAUGAAAUACGUGGUUUCACUGAAUUGGACUGUUUGUUUCGUAAUGUAAGUAUAAAUUUGUGUAAGUUGCUUAACAAAUCUGAGGAAAAGACAAGUUAAGACAAAUGGAGGAAUGUCUUGUCCUUUGCAUUGUUCCUUACAAUCAACAUAAGCAACAAUAAUCUUCAAUUUAUCUGUAUCCUGAUGGGGAGCACACUUGAUUUUUGGUGAAAGGAAGUAAUCACAACUUUUGAAGACCAAUGUGAAGAGCAGAUGGCCUGCUAUAUUUAAGUAGAGACUGUCGAUGUGACCAAACUGUGUGCCAAGCAAAAUAAUAGCCAUUACUGUGAUUUAUGCAAAACCUGGUUGGCUCAACACUAUGACCGGAGCAGCACUGAACAUGUAAUGUCAAAGAACACUCCUGUACCUCCAUUUCUGAUGAGGGAGGACCCAAAGCUGAAGCCUCCUACUAAAAAAAAUGCUAAAACCCAUUAAUUCAAGCCCUAUGAACCACUUCACCCAGAUA